RNAcentral lists this ribosomal RNA (198 nucleotides) under Triticum aestivum (bread wheat). RNAcentral's name for it is "partial small subunit ribosomal RNA". Lineage: Eukaryota; Viridiplantae; Streptophyta; Magnoliopsida; Poales; Poaceae. The record is from RNAcentral.
AUGCCGGUGGUGAGGGGGGAUGACAAGUCUGCUUGCGUCGGCGAGUACUCCAAGCUCUGCGGCAAGGACCCCGCAUGCACCACCAUGGUCGAGACGACCUGCCGUGAUGAUGCCGACAGUGUCAAGGCCAGCAAGGGCAUGUUCGAUGAGCUCGCCAAGGUCGGUGGAGACAACUUUGAUUUCGCUUCUACGGCAUAG